UACGUAGGUGGCGAGCGUUGUCCGGAAUUACUGGGUGUAAAGGGAGCGUAGGCGGGAUAUUAAGUUGAAUGUAUAAACUAUCGGCUCAACUGAUAGAAGCGUUCAAAACUGAUAUUCUUGAGUGAAGUAGAGGCAGGCGGAAUUCCUAGUGUAGCGGUGAAAUGCGUAGAUAUUAGGAGGAACACCAGUGGCGAAGGCGGCCUGCUGGGCUUUAACUGACGCUGAGGCUCGAAAGCGUGGGUAGCAAACAGG
Molecule: ribosomal RNA, 252 nt
Filed under: uncultured bacterium
Lineage: Bacteria
Description: partial 16S ribosomal RNA
Rfam family: Bacterial small subunit ribosomal RNA
Source: RNAcentral